UACAUAUCAAUAAGCGGAGGAAAAGAAACUAACAAGGAUUCCCCUAGUAACUGCGAGUGAAGCGGGAAAAGCUCAAAUUUAAAAUCUGGCAGUCUUUGGCUGUCCGAGUUGUAGUCUGGAGAAGUGUUUUCCGCGCUGGACCGUGUACAAGUCUCUUGGAAUAGAGCGUCAUAGAGGGUGAGAAUCCCGUCUUUGACACGGACCGCCAGUGCUUUGUGAUGCGCUCUCAAAGAGUCGAGUUGUUUGGGAAUGCAGCUCAAAAUGGGUGGUAAAUUCCAUCUAAAGCUAAAUAUUGGCGAGAGACCGAUAGCGAACAAGUACCGUGAGGGAAAGAUGAAAAGCACUUUGGAAAGAGAGUUAAACAGUACGUGAAAUUGCUGAAAGGGAAACGCUUGAAGUCAGUCGCGUUGUCCAGAACUCAGCCUGGCUUUUGCUUGGUGCAUUUUCUGGAUAACGGGCCAGCAUCAAUUUUGAUCGUUGGAUAAAGGUCUUGGGAAUGUGGCACCUUCGGGUGUGUUAUAGCCCUUGAUUGCAUACAACGAUUGGGAUUGAGGAUCUCAGCAUGCCUUUAUGGUCGGGGUUCGCCCACGUUCAUGCUUAGGAUGCUGGCGUAAUGGCUUUAAUCGACCCGUCUUGAAACACGGACCAAGGAGUCUAACAUGCCUGCGAGUAUUUGGGUGGUAAACCCGAGUGCGCAAUGAAAGUGAAAGUUGGGAUCUCUGUCGCGGAGAGCACCGACGCCCGGACCAGACCUUUUGUGACGGUUCCGCGGUGGAGCAUGUAUGUUGGGACCCGAAAGAUGGUGAACUAUGCCUGAAUAGGGUGAAGCCAGAGGAAACUCUGGUGGAGGCUCGUAGCGAUUCUGACGUGCAAAUCGAUCGUCAAAUUUGGGUAUAGGGGCGAAAGACUAAUCGAACCAUCUAGUAGCUGGUCCUGCG
RNAcentral lists this ribosomal RNA (938 nucleotides) under Climacocystis borealis. RNAcentral describes it as "LSU rRNA". It matches the Rfam family "Eukaryotic large subunit ribosomal RNA", at positions 37 to 962 of the family's 3401-position model. Lineage: Eukaryota; Fungi; Basidiomycota; Agaricomycetes; Polyporales; Climacocystaceae. The record is from RNAcentral.